CUUUGUGUUUUAUACAUUUAAAACAGAUAUAUAUUUGGCUUAUGGAUUUAUUUUUCAUGUGUUACUAUUGUUAAUUUUCUUUGGAUUAAUUUUUAAUUUUUUUGUUGAAAUUGGAAAAGAAAGUAAUUUUUUCUUAAUGUAAUAAUGAAUUUAAUAAAUAAAGU
This 164-nucleotide ribosomal RNA is filed under the name Dirofilaria immitis (dog heartworm nematode). Its description in RNAcentral is "partial small subunit ribosomal RNA". The record is from RNAcentral. Lineage: Eukaryota; Metazoa; Nematoda; Chromadorea; Rhabditida; Onchocercidae.